GGAAUAUUGGACAAUGGGGGCAACCCUGAUCCAGCGACGCCGCGUGUGUGAAGAAGGCCUGCGGGUUGUAAAGCACUUUUAGUGGGGAGGAAAACACUCGACCUAACACGUCGAGGAUUGACUUAACCCAAAGAAAAAGCACCGGCUAACUCUGUGCCAGCAGCCGCGGUAAUACAGAGGGUGCAAGCGUUAAUCGGAACUACUGGGCGUAAAGCGUGCGUAGACGGUUGUUUAAGUCGGAUGUGAAAUCCCCGGGCUCAACCUGGGAAUUGCAUUCGAAACUGAAUUGCUAGGGUACGGAAGAGGGAAGCGGAAUUUCCGGUGUAGCGGUGAAAUGCGUAGAUAUCGGAAGGAACAUCAGUGGCGAAAGCGGCUUCCUGGUCCAGUACCGACGUUCAGGCACGAAAGCGUGGGGAGCAAACAGGAUUAGAUACCCUGGUAGUCCACGCCAUAAACGAUGAGGACUAGACGUUGGAGGGGUCAGCCUUUCAGUGUCGCAGCUAACGCGAUAAGUCCUCCGCCUGGGGAGUACGGCCGCAAGGUUGAA
Molecule: ribosomal RNA, 547 nt
Filed under: uncultured bacterium
Lineage: Bacteria
Description: bacterial SSU rRNA
Rfam family: Bacterial small subunit ribosomal RNA
Source: RNAcentral